RNAcentral lists this ribosomal RNA (253 nucleotides) under uncultured bacterium. RNAcentral describes it as "partial 16S ribosomal RNA". It matches the Rfam family "Bacterial small subunit ribosomal RNA", at positions 524 to 776 of the family's 1533-position model. The record is from RNAcentral.
GACGAACCGAGCGAACGUUGUUCGGAAUCACUGGGCUUAAAGGGCGCGUAGGCGGGCCUCCAAGUCAAGGGUGAAAUCCCCCGGCUCAACCGGGGAAGUGCCUCUGAUACUGGGGGUCUCGAGGGAGGUAGGGGCGUGCGGAACUUCCGGUGGAGCGGUGAAAUGCGUAGAUAUCGGAAGGAACACCGGUGGCGAAAGCGGCACGCUGGACCUCUUCUGACGCUGAGGCGCGAAAGCCAGGGGAGCGAACGGG